GACGAACGCUGGCGGCGUGCCUAAUACAUGCAAGUAGAACGCUGAAGGAGGAGCUUGCUCUUCUGGAUGAGUUGCGAACGGGUGAGUAACGCGUAGGUAACCUGCCUGGUAGCGGGGGAUAACUAUUGGAAACGAUAGCUAAUACCGCAUAACAGUAGAUAUUGCAUGAUAUCUGCUUGAAAGGUGCAAUUGCAUCACUACCAGAUGGACCUGCGUUGUAUUAGCUAGUUGGUGGGGUAACGGCUCACCAAGGCGACGAUACAUAGCCGACCUGAGAGGGUGAUCGGCCACACUGGGACUGAGACACGGCCCAGACUCCUACGGGAGGCAGCAGUAGGGAAUCUUCGGCA
Molecule: ribosomal RNA, 350 nt
Filed under: Streptococcus sp. oral taxon 431
Lineage: Bacteria; Bacillati; Bacillota; Bacilli; Lactobacillales; Streptococcaceae
Description: bacterial SSU rRNA
Rfam family: Bacterial small subunit ribosomal RNA
Source: RNAcentral